UAGGGAAUCUUCCACAAUGGGCGCAAGCCUGAUGGAGCAACACCGCGUGAGUGAAGAAGGGUUUCGGCCCGUAAAGCUCUGUUGUUAAAGAAGAACACGUAUGAGAGUAACUGUUCAUACGUUGACGGUAUUUAACCAGAAAGUCACGGCUAACUACGUGCCAG
This 164-nucleotide ribosomal RNA is filed under the name uncultured bacterium. Its description in RNAcentral is "partial 16S ribosomal RNA". It matches the Rfam family "Bacterial small subunit ribosomal RNA", at positions 355 to 511 of the family's 1533-position model. The record is from RNAcentral.